This 462-nucleotide non-coding RNA is filed under the name Dictyocaulus viviparus (bovine lungworm). RNAcentral's name for it is "Eukaryotic large subunit ribosomal RNA". It matches the Rfam family "Eukaryotic large subunit ribosomal RNA", at positions 1456 to 1888 of the family's 3401-position model. Lineage: Eukaryota; Metazoa; Nematoda; Chromadorea; Rhabditida; Metastrongylidae. The record is from Rfam by way of RNAcentral.
GGUAGUAGCAAAUAUUUAAGUUCGAUCCUUGAAGACUGAAGUGGAGAAGGGUUCUACGUGAACAGUAGUUGAAUGUGGGUGAGUCAAUCCCAAGAUAAUGGCUUAUGCCUUGUAUCAUUUGGAGAGAAAAGGUUCCAUCAUCUCUUUCAGAUGUCAAAAGUGAAUAUGGUUAAUAUUCCCUAGCGUAGACACAGAGAUUAUGAUUCGUAUGAAUCAUUUGCGUGUUAACGUAUAUAAACUAGGUAAACGUCGCUCAAAACCCGUGUUAGAGUUUUCUCCACUAGUUAAGGAACGGACUCCCUGGAAUCGGUUCAGCCAUAUAUAGGAUCGUUGUAUCCGUAAAGUAUCGUGGUUUCUGUGAUAUCUCGUGUUUUUGGACGAUCUAUGAAAAGUGAGGUUAUUAAUCUGUGCUACGUCGUACUAAUAUCCUCAUCAGUUCUCCAGGGUGAAUCGCCUCUACUC